UCUCAUAAAGACCUACAAAUGUCGCGCUGCAACCCCUGACCUAACUCCAACAGGAAGUGAGCUGUCGGUCUUUGAAUGUAAGAUGGCGUUUUUCACAAAUUCUGUCGAUCAAAAAUUAUUUGCUCCUACACCGUUUAUCAUAACUGCUUCAAACUUGCACAAAUUACAGCUCUACCCCUGCUAAACAUUACUUGUGAAGGACUUUGUCAUAACUUGAAUGGUUUGGAUUUUAGAAGCGUUAGAAGGUGCAGGACACAACUCCUCAUGAUGAUCUCUGGAAGAAAAGAUGAGGGCCAACACACUGUAAACCUGUGAUUAAGGUGACAUUUUUCAGUCCAUAGACAUACAAGCUUUAUAUGUUUGCGUUCAGAACAAAUUUAUCUAUCUGGUGAUGUUUUUAGAUUGAAGAUGGGACCCACGGUUUGGCAUCUGGAAGCAUUUGUUUGAGAAAGUUUCAAGCCAUUCUGCUCUGUGUCUGAGCUGCAUGCAGUCCUUAAUUAGCAUAACAAAGGCUUCACUCUGACAGUCUGUGUGUCAGAGUGAAGUGUGUAUGUGUGUGGUCACACACACAUGAGGUUUUAAAUUACUUUAAAAAUGACCUUAAAAGUAUUUCCAUGUAUUUUAUCAAUUUUAUGUCUCUGAACCCAAGAGACUGACCUGGAG
Long non-coding RNA from Epinephelus fuscoguttatus (brown-marbled grouper), 663 nucleotides. RefSeq lists it as uncharacterized. The record is from RefSeq and is a predicted model, not a curated record. The transcript has 3 exons. Lineage: Eukaryota; Metazoa; Chordata; Actinopteri; Perciformes; Serranidae.